AUUCCAGCUCCAAUAGCGAAUACUAAUUCUGCUGCAGUUAAAAAGCUCGUAGUUGAACUUCUGGUAGGACAGAUCCGGCCUUUGGAUGAAUGUCCAUUGUAUGCUGUGUGUCUUGUCUGGCCAUCCUUUAUGUCUUUUAGGCGUAAUCUUUCACUGUAAAAAAAUUAGGGUGUUUCAAGCAAAAGUUAUUUGGAAUAUAUUAGUAUGGGAUGAUAAGAUAGGCUCUUGAGUGCUAUUUUGUUGGUUUAUACACUUAGAGAAUGAUUAACAGGGACAGUCAGGGGCACACGUACUCCGCCGAGAGAGGUGAAAUUCUCAGACCAGCGGAAGACGAACCACUGCGAAAGCAUUUGCCAGGGAUGUUUUCAUUA
RNAcentral lists this ribosomal RNA (371 nucleotides) under Thraustochytriidae sp. RNAcentral describes it as "Thraustochytriaceae sp. partial small subunit ribosomal RNA". It matches the Rfam family "Eukaryotic small subunit ribosomal RNA", at positions 582 to 975 of the family's 1831-position model. Lineage: Eukaryota; Bigyra; Thraustochytrida; Thraustochytriidae. The record is from RNAcentral.